This 253-nucleotide ribosomal RNA is filed under the name uncultured bacterium. RNAcentral describes it as "partial 16S ribosomal RNA". It matches the Rfam family "Bacterial small subunit ribosomal RNA", at positions 524 to 776 of the family's 1533-position model. The record is from RNAcentral.
GACGAACCGUGCGAACGUUGUUCGGAAUCACUGGGCUUAAAGGGCGCGUAGGCGGGCGGUCAAGUCUGUGGUGAAAUCCUUCGGCUCAACCGGAGAAUAGCUGGAGAUACUGGCCGUCUCGAGGGGGGUAGGGGCAUGUGGAACUUCCGGUGGAGCGGUGAAAUGCGUAGAUAUCGGAAGGAACGCCGGCGGCGAAAGCGAUGCACUGGCUGGUUUCUGACGCUGAGGUGCGAAAGCCAGGGGAGCAAACGGG